UCGAUCACCGACAGCUCCUUGACUUUCUUUACAACAGCCUGCUCAUCCUCAGCAUCCUUCUGCUGAUAUGUAGAAAAGUGAUUUAAUUAAACCACAUGCAGUACAGUAUAAAAUAUGAUAUGUCAUAGGGUUGGGAACUUGACAAUGCAUUCAUGACAAUAUUAGUAUCUUGAGAUAACUUUAAAAAGAUAAACAGUGCAACAAAAUCUACGAAAAUAAAAGGCUUGACUGCCCCAUAGUUAAUGACCAGCGUCUGUGACACACUGAAUAAAAAUAUGGUCCAUAGUGAAUAUGAAUAGGUGGAUAGAUACAACAAUGUCGCAAAAAAUUCUGAAACAUAGGAUAAAAUGUUAUGUUAUUUAGUGUUAGGCUGUGUCUACUACCGCGCACUUGAGCACUUCGAGCACUUCGAGCACUGACUUUCAGUGUUCGAAGUGCGCCACUGAAAAAUCCAGCAGAAUUCAGUGCACUGAAAGUACCCGGAUGGUGCACUGCAAACGGGCAAAAAAUGUAGCGUAAAACGAUGGACACUACUCGCACUAAGCGGCCGCCAUCUUGGCUACGUACCGGAAGAGGAGGAGCCCUUUCGCCAGCUUUUCAUUUUAUUUCUAAAACAAUGGCGGACAGCACAAGCGGUAGACCACGAAGCUACAGACCGUAAAUAGACGUUUCCUGGAGGUGCUGGUGCUGGUCCUCUGCUGCCCUCCCGACAUCUGGCUCCAAUGACCUCUGGCACCUCACAUCCACCUCCAGGGCCUUUAAGAAGAUGGACCGCCAUCGCGUCUUCAGUAUCCCGAAGGACCUCUCCACAACACAACACACCUCGCCUUUGACAGGCAGCAGUUGUAGCUUGGAGGUGGUUGCGGACAGGCUGCCUGAAGGGGUCAUGAGGCAGAUGGGUUGGGACAGGCAGGGGGAGCCACCAUCCCCAAGGAUACAGUAUCCUGGUGGAGGGUAUGACUGCUCAUAGAAGAUGGGGCUGUUAUUCAGGACCCUGGCAUCAUGCACUGAGCCCGGGGCCUGUCGAAGGCCCUGGCCACCACCCGAUAGGAGGUGGCGCUGGCAAGCCAAAAAAUAAAAACUAGACAGGAGAUCUCGGGGCCCCAACCGUGGUCAGUCAGUGCCCAGCACAGCCAUGAGGGCGUUGAAUGACUCUCGGGUGAGCCUGAAGUCCACCCUCAUGUCACUGGCCAUCACAAUACAACGCCAGCAGUGGCAUUGCAACAUUGAUACGGCAGCGCCGCCUGGGACUGGGUGGCUGCUGUACAGUGUGUGGGGAGGGGAAGGGAAGAUUAUAUUAAUAUGUAAGUCAUUUUAUCAAUAAAAUGUUGUCAUUGA
This is a long non-coding RNA of Pseudoliparis swirei, 1338 nucleotides long. RefSeq lists it as uncharacterized. The record is from RefSeq and is a predicted model, not a curated record. The transcript has 2 exons. NCBI's taxonomy places the organism in Eukaryota, Metazoa, Chordata, Actinopteri, Perciformes, Liparidae.